UGUACUUGAUUCAAAUGCGAUGUGGGGACGGAGAAGGUUAGGUUGGCAAGCUGUUGGAAUAGCUUGUUUAAGCCGGUAGGUGGAAGACUUAGGCAAAUCCGGGUCUUCUUAACACCGAGAAGUGACGACGAGUGUCUACGGACACGAAGCAACCGAUACCACGCUUCCAGGAAAAGCCGCUAAGCUUCAGUUUGAAUCGAACCG
This 204-nucleotide ribosomal RNA is filed under the name Neisseria lactamica. Its description in RNAcentral is "partial 23S ribosomal RNA". It matches the Rfam family "Bacterial large subunit ribosomal RNA", at positions 1440 to 1644 of the family's 2925-position model. The record is from RNAcentral. Lineage: Bacteria; Pseudomonadati; Pseudomonadota; Betaproteobacteria; Neisseriales; Neisseriaceae.